This 353-nucleotide unclassified non-coding RNA is filed under the name Hevea brasiliensis (rubber tree). Lineage: Eukaryota; Viridiplantae; Streptophyta; Magnoliopsida; Malpighiales; Euphorbiaceae. The record is from RNAcentral.
GGGGGGGGUGUGUUUGGGAGGGGGUGGUUGGGGUUGGGUCUGGGGGAGAGGGGGUGUAAAUUUCCUACCUAUUACAAACUGACACAUUAACUAUCCGUAAAUACUCUCACUUCUCAAUCUGCAAUUUUUGUUCUUUGAAGCAUGUAAAAAAUUUUCAAAAUUUAAAAGGUUGACCAUUAAUAAUAGAGAUAAUGGAAAAGAAAGCUAUAGUAAUUUGACUUGGUAGCUGUUAUUAUUCAUUUAAAGUUUAUUGAAUUUGUUGUUCAUGUGGUAGUUGUAAUUAAUUACAGAGCUGAUUGUAAUUAAUCACUUUGACCCCGCUGUUGCUUAAAAGUUCUAGUGUUUACUCUUUA